RNAcentral lists this small RNA (76 nucleotides) under Bacillus testis. The record is from RNAcentral. Lineage: Bacteria; Bacillati; Bacillota; Bacilli; Caryophanales; Bacillaceae.
AUGCUACAACCGCACGGAGCAGGUUUUUAAAAGCAGUUGCCGCUGGCAAUUCACCUGUGAUAGGCGAGUCUUAGUC